AUAUAGAUAUUAAAAGAGACAUACAAGAAAGCAAAAGACAAAAAAGAAAGUACCACAAGCCACACACCAAAACCCUCCCACCAACACGAAACCCAAACCAGGCCCGAAGCCCUCCACAAAACCGAAACUAAAUAGAACAGAAAAAUUCUAUGUAUUUCUGUCUGCAU
Telopea speciosissima is the source of this 167-nucleotide long non-coding RNA. RefSeq lists it as uncharacterized. The transcript has 3 exons. The record is from RefSeq and is a predicted model, not a curated record. NCBI's taxonomy places the organism in Eukaryota, Viridiplantae, Streptophyta, Magnoliopsida, Proteales, Proteaceae.